GACGAACGCUGGCGGCGUGCCUAAUACAUGCAAGUAGAACGCUGAAGGGAGAGCUUGCUCUUCUGGAUGAGUUGCGAACGGGUGAGUAACGCGUAGGUAACCUGCCUGGUAGCGGGGGAUAACUAUUGGAAACGAUAGCCAAUACCGCAUAACAUUGACUAUUGCAUGAUAGUCAAUUGAAAGGUGCAAAUGCACCACUACCAGAUGGACCUGCGUUGUAUUAGCUAGUUGGUGGGGUAACGGCUCACCAAGGCGACGAUACAUAGCCGACCUGAGAGGGUGAUCGGCCACACUGGGACUGAGACACGGCCCAGACUCCUACGGGAGGCAGCAGUAGGGAAUCUUCGGCAAUGGACGGAAGUCUGACCGAGCAACGCCGCGUGAGUGAAGAAGGUUUUCGGAUCGUAAAGCUCUGUUGUAAGAGAAGAACGAGUGUGAGAGUGGAAAGUUCACACUGU
RNAcentral lists this ribosomal RNA (458 nucleotides) under Streptococcus cristatus. RNAcentral describes it as "bacterial SSU rRNA". It matches the Rfam family "Bacterial small subunit ribosomal RNA", at positions 28 to 472 of the family's 1533-position model. Lineage: Bacteria; Bacillati; Bacillota; Bacilli; Lactobacillales; Streptococcaceae. The record is from RNAcentral.